GACGGAGGAUGCAAGCGUUAUCCGGAAUUAUUGGGCGUAAAGCGUCCGCAGGUGGCAGUUCAAGUCUGCUGUCAAAGACCGGGGCUUAACUUCGGAAAGGCAGUGGAAACUGAACAGCUAGAGUAUGGUAGGGGCAGAGGGAAUUCCUGGUGUAGCGGUGAAAUGCGUAGAGAUCCGGAGGAAGACCGGUGGCGAAGGCGGUCUGCUGGGCAGUUUCUGACACUGAUGCGCGACAGCGUGGGGAGCAAACAGG
RNAcentral lists this ribosomal RNA (253 nucleotides) under uncultured bacterium. RNAcentral's name for it is "partial 16S ribosomal RNA". It matches the Rfam family "Bacterial small subunit ribosomal RNA", at positions 524 to 776 of the family's 1533-position model. The record is from RNAcentral.